This 557-nucleotide long non-coding RNA is filed under the name Numida meleagris (helmeted guineafowl). Its description in RNAcentral is "lncRNA (ENSNMEG00000018270.1)". The record is from RNAcentral. Lineage: Eukaryota; Metazoa; Chordata; Aves; Galliformes; Numididae.
CAGAGAAGCAGCAGUUUUAUUCUGGUGAGAUCAUACUGUGCUGUGAGUGUGAGGUGGGUGUAGAGCCAUGAAGAAAAGUACAUUAGAGGGUGCAACGGAGGUCCUGGGUCCCAGUGUGAGGCAUGAUACAAAGAUGCAAGGCCCAGCAGAAGACAACUCAGGUUUGUUAUGAAUUGAGGAUAAAUAUCACUGAUAAAAUGGAGGUCAACAACUUAGCAGCAUCUUGUGGAAAAGGUUUGGAGGUGAGUGAAAUUAAAUGGUUACCUGAAUCAGGCAUUAUUCCAAUGGGAGACUGGAAGGUGUAGCCAGGAUUUUCUGAAGUGGAAGCAUUCAAAAUAUUGGGAACAAACACAGAAACUGUGGGGUCUGUGACAACUCGUGCGGAAUCUAAACUGAUACUGGGACCACAGUGUGCAAUAUCAUGCUCUGGGCCUGAAAGCUUUUGGCUCUAGUCUCUGAUGUACCAGGGAGAUCAACUGAUUAAAGUGCCAAAGGAUUUUCUUUCUAUUCAGUGGAUUUGAAAUACUUAAAGCUAAGCUGAACUCCAGAUCCUGCUA